Molecule: ribosomal RNA, 301 nt
Filed under: uncultured bacterium
Lineage: Bacteria
Description: partial 16S ribosomal RNA
Rfam family: Bacterial small subunit ribosomal RNA
Source: RNAcentral
CAGUAGCCGCGGGAAUACGUAGGUCCCGAGCGUUGUCCGGAGUUAUUGGGCGUAAAGCGAGCGCAGGCGGUUAGAUAAGUCUGAAGUUAAAGGCUGUGGCUUAACCAUAGUAUGCUUUGGAAACUGUUUAACUUGAGUGCAGGAGGGGAGAGUGGAAUUCCAUGUGUAGCGGUGAAAUGCGUAGAUAUAUGGAGGAACACCUGUGGCGAAGGCGGCUUCCUGGACAAGUCCUGACUCUGAAACACGAAAGCCAGGGGAGCGAAUGGGAUUAGAUACCCCCGUAGUCCCUGUCUCUUAUACA